Molecule: ribosomal RNA, 279 nt
Filed under: uncultured bacterium
Lineage: Bacteria
Description: partial 16S ribosomal RNA
Rfam family: Bacterial small subunit ribosomal RNA
Source: RNAcentral
UGCCAGCCGCCGCGGUAAUACGUAGGGAGCAAGCGUUGUUCGGAAUCACUGGGCAUAAAGCGCACGUAGGCGGUCUAGUAAGUCAGAUGUGAAAGCUCCUGGCUCAACCAGGGAAUUGCAUUUGAAACUGCUAGACUUGAGGGCGACAGGGGAGAGUGGAACUCAUGGUGGAGCGGUGAAAUGCGUAGAUAUCACGAGGAACGCCGGUGGCGAAAGCGACUCUCUGGGUCGUUCCUGACGCUGAGGUGCGAAAGCCAGGGUAGCGAACGGGAUUAGAUA